AUGAAGGCUCCCAUUGCUGUAGAGAGGGGCCCUUGGCAGAGGCGGGGUUGUCCAGCCACCUUAUGGAAGGCAGGGGCGAGUACGGCCAGCCUGGGCGGCCCCAGCACACCCUGCCUGGGGGACCGUGAGCCAACCCGUGGGGUGGUUGCCAGCACCAGACCCUGGGGUGUUGUCACUCAGCAGGAGACAAGGGCCACGGGCUUGGCUGACACUUCGCUCCUCUGGUUGGAGGCCCUGCUGCCAGGAGCCAGCCCCACCCGUCACUCCAGUGAAACGUUUGGGUCUCACUGCCGGCUGCGUGGCUGGGAACGAGGACAGAGCUCUCUGCCUGCAGCUGAGGAAGGGCCCCCUCUGAUGGACCUCCAAGCUGCUGGGGGCUCGGGCGGGAUGAGGGUCUGGCCGGGAGGCCGUGAGGGGCGCUUUGUGUGUGUGUGGGGGGGGGUGGGGUGGGCAGCCAAGCCUGGACUCUUAGGGACAGUCGUGCGGCUCCAGACACUGGGAAGAGUGGCGAGAGGCCUUGGCUGGGGAAGUUGCGAUCAUGAACUAUCGAGAACAAGUGUCUUCAAAAGAGCUAGAUUUGGGGGAAAGGAAGCGCCUGGGGGAAGCACAGAAAGGACCCCUCCGAGGCAGCACAGAGGCUCGUUGUGCACAGGGAGGUGGUGGAAGGAGACGCUCGAACCAGGCCCCGGGGCCCUGCUGGCGGGCCGGCCCCGCUGUGCCCAGGACCCAGUCCAGGCACUUAAUCCUCAUCUCAGCCCAUGGUCGUGGGUCCACUGUUUCCAUCUGUUUUUAAUUUGUUAAUUAAGUUUUUGAUGUGGACCAUUUUAAGUCUUAAUUGAAUUUGUUACAGUAUUGCUCCUGUUUUAUGCUUUUGGGUUUUUGACUGCAGGGCAGGUGGGAUCCCAGCUCCCUGACCAGGAAUCAAACCUGCAGCCCCUGCCCUGGAAGGAGAGGUCUUAACCGCUGGACCAAGGAAGCCCCGCCUCUCAGUUUACAGACAGGAAACAGGCCCAGCGACUUGACGGGGCCACUUGGUGCUGAAGCAGCAAAUCUGGGGCCCACGUGUGGCCAGUCCGGCUUCAGAGUCUGCCCUCUCAACCCUGAAUAAUGCAGCUGGACUUCCACAUGGCCCCUCACGCCUCUGCGGGGCCUUAACCCCUGACCCCACUGGGUUCCUCUCUAGAAGAGAUGACUGAAUGGGCUGGGGUCAGCCACCUCCCGCCAGGGGCUGCUGCGUGGAAUCCCACAUGCCCCUCUUGGGAGAGGCUGCCCCGGCUUGCCAGGAAGAACCUCGUUCAGCACCCUUCAGCUGUGUCCUCAUAGCCUGGACCCCGCGUCUUCCUCCAGAGAGACGCGGGGAGUGCCCUCUGCUGGGAUCUAAACUACACCCUCAGCUCACAGACAAGGAGGGGCCAGAGGAGAGCAUCCCCUCCCUGGGGCCACACUCAACAGGCUUUCUUCCCGAGGGUGACAGGGAGACAGCAUGGGGGGGCACACUGCUCUUUGGGGGGUCCCUCCAGGUCCUUCCGAGCAGGGGUUAAGUAACCAGCUCCAUCUCCUGGGGGUGAUGAGCUGACCGCACUGCUAGGAGGAGGGUGAGGUGUCAGGAACACAGGGGUGAUCGCCCUUUAUGACCUCCCCUUGAACCUUAAUCCCUAGACUCGAGGUCUCGGGGGGUCAGUGCCCUCCUCUGCCCAGACAGGCACCCUGCGCUUGGUAGGGCUCAGAGCAGUCUCUGCCCACCACCUGUCAGAGUCUCCCCCUCCCCACCCGCAUGACAACCCGGGAGGCCCCACAGCAUCACUGCAGGCUGACAGCCGAUGCUCGGAGGACAGGUCUCCCCAAGCGCAGGCACCUGAAGACUUCGUGCAGGAGGAAGUUCAACCCUUUUGUUCCCCACCGGUUCCCUAUAGCGUCUAGAAUAAUCCGAGGCAGGCAGAAAUGCUGGAGGAGCAUUUGAAAGAGAAGUGCCAAGUCAAGGUCGUCCAGCCCUUGACUCUCCUCCAGAUCCCUCUCUUCCAGUUUCAGCUGCAAACGACGGGACUGAGCAUCACCCGAGCAUCAGCGUGCCCGUGUUGCCCACACCUGUGCCUACCCCCGGCUCUGCCUCGAGCACCCCGCCACCUCCAGCGUCUGGCUCCCGGAAGCCUGCCCUCGGCCAGGUGGGGCCCCUGUGCCCUCCACGCGCAUCUGCACCUUUCUCACCCCAGAUCCAGGGAGCUUUAAGGAGGGGAGAAGGGAACAAGGAGAGUCCCUCUGUGGGCAGGAGGCCCCGGGCACAGCACUGACCUGUCGCAGCUUCUCUCCAGGGAGGAUGGGGGGAUGCGUGAGAGGAGGAAGACUGUUGAAAGCGUCACAAGGGAACUGUUCUCAGCCACCCCGGGCAGAGAGAGCCUGAAGCCAGGCGCCGCCUCCCACCCCGCCACAGCCCUCCGAGCACAGGGCCCUCGCCUUCCUGUCGUCCCAUCACCAGGACUAACGCCCUCUGUCUCCUGUCCUAGAUCACAGGCAGGCGAAUCACCAGGCCUUCAGGGAGCCGACUUCCCAUGGCUCCCAGGGCGGGGUAAGGCACGAAGGGUAAGGGGGGUACGGGGGGAAGGCCCCUGAGUUCGGACUCUGCUGCGGCCAGGAUGGCGGUCCCAGGGCCCCAGCCCCACGGCAGCAGCUUCGCAGACCCGUCCGCCGGGGAGGGCUCACGUCAUGCCCUGGGCAGAGAGCUGCGGGCUGCAGGCGUCCCUGGUUCAGGACACAACUCCAAAGGCAAUGCUGUCUCUUUUCGUCCUCACCCCACCACGGGCUCCAUAGUUUGAAAGGAACCCGGGGGACUCCCCUGGUGGUCCAGUGGCCGAAACUCUGAGCUCCCAACACAGAGGGUCCUGGGUUCAAUCCCUGGUCAGGGAACUAGAUCCCACAUGCCGCAACUAAAGAUGCCACCUGCCACAUCAGAGAUCGAAGCGUUCUGCAGCUACGACCUGGCGUGGCUGAGUGAAUUAACGUGAAUACAAACAUGGAACCUGUGCAAGGCUCUCCCUGGGAAAGGACUUGGCCCACGUGGGGCUUGGAGGUGGGGUCCAGCACAGACUUAACAGAUUCUCCCUGAUUAUUUAAAACACACAAAAAAGAUGGGGGGUAGGAACAGAGCGUGGCUCACUCUACUCCACUCUGGGACCAUGAGGGGAGGAAGUGGCGGCUGUGAGUUGGUGCAGAUGAACCUCGCAGCUUACUCUGUCCACCAUUGACUCACUCACUGUCUGGCACCAAAGCACAGGCGGGCUCGGCUCAGCUUCCUUCCGGCUGCCUGGGCUCCUGUGUGGUGAGGGCUGGUCUCUCCCUGACACUCCAAAUGAACAGAACUGCUAAUAGGUGUGAAUUCAUGCACCCAGCAGGGGAAAAGCAGAGGCAGGAAGAGAGCAGAAAGUGCCAGCUGCUGUGUCCGGUGAGGUCCCAGCAGAGCAGGCUGGGCGGAGCCACCCGACACAGACCCAGAUCCCUGAGGAGGUGCCGGGCAGCUUUCUGUGACCGCCCCCCUUCCUCUUGGACCUUAACUGCCCCUCUACCCCGAGCCCCUAGAGUCCUAGGGGAGCCAUGAAGUUUAAAGGUUCUCAAGUAGAAAGUCAACAGGUCUAGCAGGGAAACUUGGUUCCCUAAAAUGGAAAGGGGGGCAGGUAAGGAAGACCCAGGCCCGGGCUGCAGCUGGGCCUAAGACUGAGACAAACCAGUACAGUCGAGGGCCGUGUCAAGCGGGGACCAGCAGGCCUCUGCCCUUGGAGCUGCAGGGACACAGGAGGCUGGGGGCCAGAUCCGCCACCUGACGGGGCUCCCAUGGGGGCACCAUGGGGGUCACAGGGCGGCUGGGCACCAUCCUCUCAGCAAACCCCUCCCAGGGCUCAAUCGAGCUGGGCUCACAGCCGCUCAGUGGCAGGCGCACACACAUUGAGUCUACAAGUGUGUCUGGAAAUCAGCAGGAGACCCAGGCCCACAUCACAAACCCCCACCUUGGGGCCACUCCUGUCUCGCCGUGAAAGCCUCACAAGCCACCUGAACCCUGGGCUGUGCCGGAAGGGUGUCCGGUCCAGCCUGUGGUUCCUGUUGGGCCUUUUUGCUGAGAACACACUGAUCUCUCAGACCACAGGCAGCUGGACCCUCAAACAGUGGUUCUGUUGCAGGAAAGGGGACCCCUUCCAGGGCCCGAAACUGGGCUCUUGUCUAACACUCGGAAAUGAAUUGUCCUAGGAGACAUAUCUGCUGACAAAGCAAGAGAUUUUAUUGGGAAAGGGUGCCCUGGUGGACAGCAGUAGGGCAAGGGAACCCAGGAGAACCGCUCUGCCGCGUGGCUCACAGUCUUGGGUUUUAUGGUGACGGGAUUAGUUUCCGGGUGGUCUCUAGCCCAUCAUUCUGACUCAGAGUCCUUCCUGGUGGCGCACACAUCGCUCAGCCAAGAUGAAUGCCAGAGAGGAUUCUGGGAGGUGGUCGGACACGUGGUGUCUCCUUUUGACGUUUCCCGAACUCUUCCAGUUGGUGGAGGCUUAUUAGUUCCCAGUUCCUUACCAGGACCUCCUGUCGUAAAACAACUCAUGCAGAUGGUUACCGUGGUGCCGGCCAGGGUGGGUGGUUUCAGUCAGCGUGCAUCCCCUAACAGUUCCUUUCUCUGUGGGGAUCCCUUUGAGGAUAAAAAGUUAUGGGCCUUCUUGCCUAAGAGGCUCAUAGGCACUUCAUAAUGAUUUCAGGGGUUCACUGUUUGGGAUCCUGGCUCUGGGACCCCAUGUGGUCAUAAGGCACCGGGUGGAGCCCUGGUAAGGCUCACCACCGGCCUGGAGGGUACAGGCCCGGCUUCCACUGCCCUCUGGUGCCACCGGGAGGGGGACACACUCCCAGCAGCUGCAGUCAGAGCCCCGAGGUGGCGUGGCUCACCUCUCCUUCAGGCCGAUCCAGGGCCCUGAACACUCGUAGGGGCGUCGGCCCCCUGCAGAACCGGGGGGACCAGUCCUCCACUGGCCCCCUGUGGGCAGAGGAGCCUCUGCUUUACCUUGGAAGGAGGCAAGGACGCUGGAAGACUGAGACAGCCUCUGCCCAGCAGAACCCCACUUACUGGCAGUACACAGUCGUACCAGAUCACUGUGCUGUGUGCCCUGAGACCGAUAGGCUGUCUUCUGUGUAUCAGCAAAAAUAAAUUUUAAAAAAGAAAAGCAAAAAAGAAAGAAAAGCAGCUGUUAUUCAAAUUGAUGACUGAAACAGAAAAUUCUCCAUUUAAGAAAGACCUAAGCCUGGGGAUGCUUCAGGCCCCACGUCACCUGGAGGAGACAGCGUGGGACAGUCCCUCUGAAGGGCAGCAUGAGCUGCCGGCUCCCAGCCGCUGCCCCCGACUCUCCAGGCCUUGGGCAGGGGUUGGGCGGAACUGGAGAAGGGGCAGAAGGCCAGUGGGAGCCCCUCCCAGCUGGAAAGCCGUGCUCAGGCGUCGAAGAACAAGCAGAGCAUCAAGGCUGAUUCCUCCCACCUGCUGGGCUAGACACAGAUCAGAGUCAGAGGAGGCUGCAAAAGACGUCAGGCGGAAACGUGAGGUGCCAGCGCGGCAGGGCCAGCGGCUCAGGCUUCUACCCCCAGAUCCACACUUGGAACACGGCAGCCCCAGGGAAGCGGUGGACACCACCAGCCACAGCCCAACCUAGGCUUCCCAUGCUUCCACACAUGUCCAGCCUCCCGGGCCAGAGAGCAUGCUGCGGACAUGUGGAUGUCCUGCAGGUGCCGCAGGCGUGUCC
RNAcentral lists this long non-coding RNA (5756 nucleotides) under Bos grunniens (domestic yak). Its description in RNAcentral is "lncRNA (ENSBGRG00000025273.1)". Lineage: Eukaryota; Metazoa; Chordata; Mammalia; Artiodactyla; Bovidae. The record is from RNAcentral.